Long non-coding RNA from Drosophila pseudoobscura, 561 nucleotides. RefSeq lists it as uncharacterized. The record is from RefSeq and is a predicted model, not a curated record. Lineage: Eukaryota; Metazoa; Arthropoda; Insecta; Diptera; Drosophilidae. The transcript has 2 exons.
GGUUUGACAUUUGCAGAGCAUGUCAUGCUGCUUAUUAAAAGCAUAAAUAAGUAUAAGUGGAUGAUAGUGGGAUUCUGAGCGGAGGGGGAACGUUUUAGUGAGUGGUUGAAUCCACCCUCGGGACUAUGUCCUGGCAAAGGCUUGACCAGAGAAGCACCAGAAGACCAGGCCGAAGGAGGCCAACAAUGCCUCUCCUUGUACUGGACAAUUUGCGCCGGACAAUGGCUACAAAUCAACGUGGAAAUUGUGCAAAUCUUCGAUGUGUACCGACAGAUAAACAGUUUUACCUACGGCUUCCUCUGGCUUCGCGUGGGCUGUUCCAGUUUUCAACAAUUCUUGUCGUUAAUCAAUUAACUUUGCCCUGGUUCCUUUACUCGAAAAACUCGGAAACGCCCCCUCACUUUGACCCACCGCCCGCUGGAACUCCCUCCCACUGAGUGGUGGGUGAUUCAGGCUUGACCACUUCAAUAUGUCAAACGAAUCAAACGCAUAAACCAAACCAGCAGCCGGACCCGCAACCAGACAAAAGAUGAUGUCCGAGCAAAUAUUGAAAAGUGAAAA